CUCUAACUUGGAGAACUUUGCAUAAUUUAGAUAGAGUGGCUCUCGUGCAUCCCUUACAAGCAUUGCAAACUAUUCAGAAGUUUUUUCUAUCUCAAGCCGGAUAUUGUGUUCAUGAUCAGAAUUGCCUUCAGAUGCACUAGUACUCAUGCGUACAUUUGAACAAAUGUCCUGAUGUAAAUCAUCUAAUAGUUCUCCUAUACCACCAUAUUCGACAGGUUCAGCAGCAUUACUAUCAUCUUCAUUAUCGUCAUCGUCACGCACAACUUCAUUCGGAUCAGCCUCCCUAUGCUAUAUCCAGCAAGUAUAUUUGUUAUCCAUACCAUAACGUAGCAGAUGCUCCUUAAUAAGUGUUAUGUGAUGAUAUACCAUAUCGACACAUCUCUUGCAUGGAUACUUUAUCCAACUAGCACUGUCAACCUUGUACCGUGCAAACUUAAUAAAAUCUCGAAUACUUUUUCGAUAUUCAAGCAAAAAAAUACCUCUGCAUUCAUCCAACUUUUAUUGAUAUCUAUCUAAUAAUAAAUACGAAAAUCAUUAAUAAUAAAAAAAAAUUAGUGGUAUUCAUUCAAAUCGGAUCCCGACCC
This 584-nucleotide long non-coding RNA is filed under the name Elaeis guineensis (African oil palm). Its description in RNAcentral is "long non-coding RNA (EGUI_LNC072815)". The record is from RNAcentral. Lineage: Eukaryota; Viridiplantae; Streptophyta; Magnoliopsida; Arecales; Arecaceae.